Non-coding RNA from Saimiri boliviensis boliviensis (Bolivian squirrel monkey), 1026 nucleotides. The record is from RefSeq and is a predicted model, not a curated record. NCBI's taxonomy places the organism in Eukaryota, Metazoa, Chordata, Mammalia, Primates, Cebidae.
GGUUGAUGUCCAGGUCUCUGCGGCUAUGGGAGAGGGGCAGAGGCAGAGGUGGGCACGCCAGGACAAGAUGUUGGUCAUCCCAAGCCCAACACUGCCAUUGGUGAAGCAGGGAGGCGUGGACCUGCUCUGCAUAAAUGGACCAGGGGCUUCCCUGGGCACAGGUUUUUGGACUCUCCAACACAUCCCAGUACCAUGCACACAGCCGGUCCUUAAUAUUUGUAGAAGAAUGAGAAGAAGGACAGACAUCAGUAUCAAGGCUGGAUGACUGGAAUCAGGGAUGUCACUGACACCCCCAACACUCCUGCCCAGGAAGGCCUCAGGAGAGGAGGAAAAGUGGAAGAGCCCAGGGCAGGGAGUCCGACGCUCUGCUCCCUUCUGCCCCUCACAGGGCGUGACCUCGUGCAGGAAAUGACCUCCUCUGAGGCCCAAUACCCUGCUCAUCUACAAACUGGGAUGCCACAGCAUCACGGAGCUGCAAUCUGGAGUGAGCCAGGGCAGAUGCCAAAUACACCUGUCUGCCUCCUCUUGCUGGGCUGGGAGGGGCAAAUCCCAGGGUGCCCCAAAUCUGCAGAGGCCCCCACCCCCUCACCUGACUGAAGAGGUGGGAGAGCACCGUGUCAGGUAAAGUGCUGGUCAGGCCGGAGAGCUGCAGGGAGCAGGGUGCCAGCGUGAGUGCUGCCCCUCACCCCACCCUAGGUGCACCCACCCCACCCCCAGUCACACACCCACCUUGGUGGCAGCCCAGUCUAUCCAGCCUUUGCCGUUGGGGUCGAUGUUCACCAGCACCAGCCCCUCCACCAGAUCGGGGAAGAUGAGCUGCAUUAAAAGGGAAGACAGGGCUGGGCGGGGCCGGGACGGGUGCAGACAGCAGAAACGCACUGUGAAGUCUUCAAGGUGCCACUGAUGAGCAGCUGGGUCCGUGCCCGCACACCCAGGUCCAGACGCCCCUGCUUGUCCUCCUGUCACCCAGCCCUUCACAGUUCCUGGAUUUAUUUAGAAUCUCUAUCACUGUUUCCAAAUAAAAUU